RNAcentral lists this small nucleolar RNA (107 nucleotides) under Gossypium arboreum. Its description in RNAcentral is "Plant small nucleolar RNA R71". It matches the Rfam family "Plant small nucleolar RNA R71". From Rfam's summary of the family: R71 is a member of the C/D box family of snoRNAs containing the C (UGAUGA) and D (CUGA) box motifs. The record is from Rfam by way of RNAcentral. Lineage: Eukaryota; Viridiplantae; Streptophyta; Magnoliopsida; Malvales; Malvaceae.
AACCCAUGGUGAGGGCAUUGUCUUAAGAGAUCCUUGUAUCUCUCCCAUGCAUCGUAGAGUGUCUCUAAAUUCAUCUGCACAAAAGAAAAGAUAUCAAUACGUAAUUU